UACGAAGGGGGCUAGCGUUGUUCGGAAUCACUGGGCGUAAAGCGCACGUAGGCGGAUCUUUAAGUCAGGGGUGAAAUCCCGAGGCUCAACCUCGGAACUGCCUUUGAUACUGGAGAUCUCGAGUCCGGAAGAGGUAAGUGGAACUGCGAGUGUAGAGGUGAAAUUCGUAGAUAUUCGCAAGAACACCAGUGGCGAAGGCGGCUUACUGGUCCGGAACUGACGCUGAGGUGCGAAAGCGUGGGGAGCAAACAGG
Molecule: ribosomal RNA, 253 nt
Filed under: uncultured bacterium
Lineage: Bacteria
Description: partial 16S ribosomal RNA
Rfam family: Bacterial small subunit ribosomal RNA
Source: RNAcentral